CCUACGGGAGGCAGCAGUGGGGAAUUUUGGACAAUGGGCGCAAGCCUGAUCCAGCAAUGCCGCGUGAGUGAAGAAGGCCUUCGGGUUGUAAAGCUCUUUUGUCAGGGAAGAAACGGUGGGAGCUAAUAUCUUCCACUAAUGACGGUACCUGAAGAAUAAGCACCGGCUAACUACGUGCCAGCAGCCGCGGUAAUACGUAGGGUGCAAGCGUUAAUCGGAAUUACUGGGCGUAAAGCGUGCGCAGGCGGUUUUGUAAGUCUGUCGUGAAAGCCCCGGGCUCAACCUGGGAAUUGCGAUGGAGACUGCAAGGCUUGAAUCUGGCAGAGGGGGGUAGAAUUCCACGUGUAGCAGUGAAAUGCGUAGAGAUGUGGAGGAACACCGAUGGCGAAGGCAGCCCCCUGGGUCAAGAUUGACGCUCAUGCACGAAAGCGUGGGGAGCAAACAGGAUUAGAUACCCUGGUAGUCCACGCCCUAAACGAUGUCUACUAGUUGUCGGGUUUUAAUUAACUUGGUAACGCAGCUAACGCGUGAAGUAGACCGCCUGGGGAGUACGGUCGCAAGNUUAAAACUUCAAAUUGAAAUUGACGG
Molecule: ribosomal RNA, 588 nt
Filed under: uncultured bacterium
Lineage: Bacteria
Description: bacterial SSU rRNA
Rfam family: Bacterial small subunit ribosomal RNA
Source: RNAcentral